GUACUCGUGAAACUUCGUACUCAGUUUAUAAUAUUAUUAUUUAUAAAGAUGUUUAUGUAUUAUUUUCGUGUAAGUCGUAACAAAUAUAAACUAUUAUAACAGUGAUAUUCUAUAAAUGAAAGAUACGUGUUAUUAUCAUGUUAAUUAAGACAUUAUGUAAAUACUGUAAACUCUGCAGGUACCAUACACAGGGAAAAAGGAAAAAAAAGGUACAGGCGGUGACACAAGUAAUGCAAGGAAUAAUCACCACAAGGGAAAAUUUGACACCACCUCAUAUAUCAAAGAUAGGAAAAAACGUGCUAAUGCGUUUUGUAAACGUAAGCACACACUGUUUACGAAUGCGAAAUCACUAGUCAAUUUAACCGGUGCAAAUGUCACCCUUAGCAUUCAACCGGAAGACGGUCGAGCAGCGGAAGUUUACCGAUCCAAUCCAAACUAUGCAAUGACUUUGAACGCUGCCGGAGAAAACACCCUUCCAAAUGUGGAGAACAUAACAGAGCCACCACUGUCUCCUAAUUUUGUAGAAAGGGAAGAUGUUCCGGACGAUAUGGACAACGAGAAGAAAUGCAGAAUUUGUGGAG
This is a long non-coding RNA of Ruditapes philippinarum (Manila clam), 581 nucleotides long. RefSeq lists it as uncharacterized. The transcript is spliced from 3 exons. The record is from RefSeq and is a predicted model, not a curated record. Lineage: Eukaryota; Metazoa; Mollusca; Bivalvia; Venerida; Veneridae.